This 468-nucleotide ribosomal RNA is filed under the name uncultured bacterium. Its description in RNAcentral is "partial 16S ribosomal RNA". It matches the Rfam family "Bacterial small subunit ribosomal RNA", at positions 28 to 523 of the family's 1533-position model. The record is from RNAcentral.
GAUGAACGCUGGCGGCGUGCCUAACACAUGCAAGUCGAGCGAUUCUCUUCGGAGAAGAGCGGCGGACGGGUGAGUAACGCGUGGGUAACCUGCCCUGUACACACGGAUAACGUACCGAAAGGUACGCUAAUACGGGAUAAAGUUGUUGGAUGGCAUCUUCUAACAAUCAAAGCUCCGGCGGUAUAGGAUGGACCCGCGUCUGAUUAGCUAGUUGGUGAGGUAAUGGCUCACCAAGGCGACGAUCAGUAGCCGACCUGAGAGGGUGAUCGGCCACACUGGAACUGAGACACGGUCCAGACUCCUACGGGAGGCAGCAGUGGGGAAUAUUGCACAAUGGGCGAAAGCCUGAUGCAGCAACGCCGCGUGAGCGAUGAAGGUCUUCGGAUCGUAAAGCUCUGUCCUCAAGGAAGAUAAUGACGGUACUUGAGGAGGAAGCCCCGGCUAACUACGUGCCAGCAGCCGCAGUAA